Molecule: long non-coding RNA, 348 nt
Organism: Phyllostomus discolor (pale spear-nosed bat)
Lineage: Eukaryota; Metazoa; Chordata; Mammalia; Chiroptera; Phyllostomidae
Exons: 2
Source: RefSeq, a predicted model, not a curated record
UCACUUUCCAUCAGAAUCACCUAGAGAGCUUGUUAAAAAGCAUCCUCUGGAACCAUACCAGGAAUUCUGAGUUAGAAUUGAAGAUGGUAGGACCUAGACUCUGUAUUUUUAACAAUCUUCCUAUGUGAUUCAUUUGCAGAGUAAAAUCUGAGAGCGUCUGGCCUCCAGAUCAGGUGCAAACACUUAAGAAUUUCUGAUAAAUACCACCUGACUGGCUCAUUCACUCAAUUCUUGCCACUGCUCCAUGUACUCUCGCACUUGCAGAUGAGAAGACUGAGCUCAGAGAUGACAAGACUUGGAAGAGGCACCUAGCAGGGAAAGCUGAAUGCAGGUGGCAUUUGAAUGAAG